AUUGACACGUCUGUGAGUAGA
This 21-nucleotide microRNA is filed under the name Oryctolagus cuniculus (rabbit). RNAcentral's name for it is "ocu-miR-509b-3p". Its record names the gene ocu-miR-509b-3p. The record is from miRBase by way of RNAcentral. Lineage: Eukaryota; Metazoa; Chordata; Mammalia; Lagomorpha; Leporidae.